GUGAGGAAUAUUGCGCAAUGGGGGCAACCCUGACGCAGCGAUGCCGCGUGGGUGAAGAAGGCCUUCGGGUCGUAAAGCCCUGUCAGGCGGGAAGAACGGCUCCGGGACGAACAAUUCCGGGGAUUGACGGUACCGCCGAAGGAAGCACCGGCUAACUCCGUGCCAGCAGCCGCGGUAAGACGGAGGGUGCGAGCGUUAUUCGGAUUCAUUGGGCGUAAAGGGCGUGCAGGCGGCCAGCCAAGUCGGACGUGAAAGCCCGGGGCUUAACCUCGGAAGUGCGUUCGAAACUGGUUGGCUUGAGUCCGGGAGAGGGAAGCGGAAUUCCGGGUGUAGAGGUGAAAUUCGUAGAUAUCCGGAGGAACACCGGUGGCGAAGGCGGCUUCCUGGACCGAGACUGACGCUGAGACGCGAAAGCGUGGGGAGCAAACAGGAUUAGAAACCCCAGUAGUCC
Molecule: ribosomal RNA, 451 nt
Filed under: uncultured bacterium
Lineage: Bacteria
Description: bacterial SSU rRNA
Rfam family: Bacterial small subunit ribosomal RNA
Source: RNAcentral